This 61-nucleotide microRNA precursor is filed under the name Monopterus albus (swamp eel). RNAcentral describes it as "Mal-Mir-7-P3_pre stem-loop". The record is from RNAcentral. Lineage: Eukaryota; Metazoa; Chordata; Actinopteri; Synbranchiformes; Synbranchidae.
UGGAAGACUAGUGAUUUUGUUGUUUUGGGGUUAAACUAACAACAAGUCAUUGUCUCCCUCA